Carassius carassius (crucian carp) is the source of this 3072-nucleotide long non-coding RNA. RefSeq lists it as uncharacterized. Lineage: Eukaryota; Metazoa; Chordata; Actinopteri; Cypriniformes; Cyprinidae. The record is from RefSeq and is a predicted model, not a curated record. The transcript is spliced from 4 exons.
AGUACACUGUGAUAUAAUGUUUCAAUUUUGGCUUGAUAUUUAGAUUUUUCAAAAUUUAUUGUGACGUUUUAUCUGGUUACAGAUCGAACAGCCACCAACACAGAACGUCUUUGUGUGGAGACCCAGUUUUUGAGGCCAGCUGUGAUUCUCCCUCUUUAAGGAAAGUAAACAAACAUCUUUCUUACUUUCUUUUUUUUCUUUUUUUUCUGUGACUUGUAUGUGAUUCCCAGCAUUCUGUAAGCAAAUACUUUCCCACUUGGGGAAGCGCAGUGCUUUUGAGAGGAAGGUUUUAUCUUAAAUAACUGUGUCUGUGCAGAGCCCGUGUGUUCCCAGGCAGGAAUGGCAAGGAGCCGUCUGAUGUUAAUGGUUUCCACAUGGACUCUCAGAGAGGCCGGCCAAGACUCCAGCACGGGCAGAAAUCUCCAAAUUUAGAAGAAAUAUGAAAAUUGUCAAAGUGCCUUCCUUAGGCUGAGACGACGGGCCCGGCCCCCUAGCCUGAGCCCUCCCUCGCCAUUUCUUCUCAUCCUCACACACCGCGGGUCACAGCUCGGGGUCAUGGGGGCUGUUACACCAGCCAAUCAGGGAGCUCGGGAGGUUUUCCCUGACGUGCCGCUCUGAUAGUAAGCCUGCCCCUUGCUUCAUAUAAGAUAAAAGAAAAGUCUUUGCUCCCCAAGCCGACCAUGCUUCAAAAAGGAGCCUCGCACCGGGAACCCCCUUCAGACGGUGGAGCGCACGGCAUCCAUGGGAACAAAGCGGGGACCCCCUCUCUGCAUCUCUACCCAUCCCGACUGACACCAAACACCCAGCACACUCCCACCCAACCAAAUUGGCCAGGACCCAUGUGAACGAUACUUCUUCUUCAAGACACAGACUGCGAGUCUGCAGGGGGAAACACAACAUGCUGCAGGUUUAAUAGCUGCAGGUCAGACAGGCUGGCUGGGUGACAAACUGAAGAAUUCAUUCAAACCUCCGGUUCUUUUUAUGGGACUGAGUCACUUCCAAUGUAAUCAACAGGACGUAGGAGGUCACAGUCCAUGUUGAUCAAAGAUGGUAAGAUGGAACACAAAAGGUGUCAUGCAUGAUUCAUCCCAGCUACAGUCCUCAGGCCCAAGGUGCAGUGCUGCAUCUCUGGUCAACUGGGAGUCUGAGAUGAAGCACUGUAGCUCGGGAGGAAGGGCACUGCCUGCUAAUAGACUGAACAAGAUACCUUGUUUUUAACAUUACAAAUUUGAGAUUUCUAUUUCAUAAAAUGCUCAUUUAUAAUUAGUAGUAGAUUAAGCAUUAUUGUUUAGCAUUAGCAUUAUUUGGUAGACCAGGUGUUGGUAAUUCUAGGAUUAAAUGGACUUCUACUGUUGCCACUCUUCCAUCACAAUGAAUUCCAUCAUUUCCCCAUUCCCGGGGUCCAGUUUUCCCAGGAAUCCCUUGGGCAAUCAUAAGGGGGAUUCCUGGAAAUACUGUUCUUGGGGGUGGGGCUGGACAACUGAAUUUUUCAAAUUAUAUUUUAGCUGUUUAUAUUAUCAUCUAUUACUAUGAUCAGUGGUUAUACUCCAUUUUAACAUGUAUUGCCAUAUACACUACCAUUUAAAAGUUUUUUAUCAUUUUUUAUGCUCUCCAAUGCUACAUUUAUUGAAUUAAAAAUACAGUUAAAACAGUAAUUUUGUAAAAUAUUAUUACAAUUUAAAAUAACAGUUUUCUUUUCUAAUAUAUUAUUGUGAUGGUAAAGCUGCAAUUUCAGCAGCCAUUACUAAAAGUCUUCAGUGUCACAUGAUCCUUCGUUCUUUUUAAAAAUCAUUCUAAUAUGCUGUUUUGGUGCUGCAGAGACACUUCUUAUUAUCAGUGCUGAAAACAGCUGUGCCGCUUAAUAUUUUUGUGAAAUUGGUGAUAGAUUUUUUUUCAGGAUCUUUGAUUGAUAAAAAAGUUCAAAAGAACAGCAUUCACUUGAAACGGAAAUCUUUUGUCACAUUAUAAAUCUCCUUACUGUCGAUCUUUUGAUCAAUUUAAUGUGUAUUUGCUGAAUAAGAGAAAAUAUUUCUGCCCCUAACUUUGAAUACUUAUAUUGCAAGUAUGAGUUAUAUUUUACUUUACAGAUUUAAAUACAAAUAUUUUAAAGUGAUCAUUUAGAAAUAAUAAAUACAUGAACCUCCACAAUGUUUCAAUAAAAAUCUUGUUUAUCAUCUAAAACUGUUGUUAUUGUUUAUUCAUCUAAAACUGUUGUUAUUGUGUGUGUGUGUGUGUGUGUAUACUUUUUUUAUUUUUAUCAUAUGAUAUGAAAAAAGCAGAGCCACCUAUUAGUGAAAAUGUACAGAACAUCAAACACUGUCCACUGGGGGGCGCCGUUUACAUUGUAAGGCGGUUCAAAAGGAAACAACUGCCCACACGUGGUGGCUCAGAUUACAGGAAUUUUACAGAAAUCUGACUGGAGCAAUUUACAUUUAUCACGUCAGACCUGCAUUAGGAGAAUAUAUGAUAAACCUCCAUCUGAGUGCAUGUAAAUGUUAACCAGAAGAACAGAUAAUCAUCUGCAGAGAGAGCAUUCAUCAAGUAAUACAUUUUUGAUAUUGUUUUAUUAUACUGCUAUACUGUACUCAGAUUUGAGCGAGCGCCUGUAUACACAUGCUCCAGCACAAAUGUGCAGUGAGUCAUUCAGGAUUAAGUAGGCGGUGGAUGCUCAUACAUUUACGUGAGAUUUCUUUAAGUGUUCACCCAUGCUGUCACUGAAAUGUGUGACAGUGUGUGGGAGAAAAAGAUCCACGCAUUUGGACAAAGAUCGAAUGCAAUUAUAUACUUUUUUUAAGUAAUAGUAAACAAGAAACAGUAAAGCGAUUGUCAUUUAAAACAACUCCCUCGUAUGGGUCCUAUGAAGGUAUCCUGAAAGACAUUAGUUGCAUUAAUGUUGAUAUGGUUUGCUUACAUGCGAGGAGGGGGAAGGGAAAGGCACGAGGAUCAGUGCUGAGCUGGACUGUGUCGUGUUCAGCCCAACAGCUGCCUGGUGGAAUCCAGCCCUGUUGACUCUGAGCCUCUGAAUCCACAUUGACGGAGACGAUGAUACGAAGACAGCUGUGUGGGCUUCAG